Molecule: transfer RNA, 62 nt
Filed under: Odontolabis cuvera fallaciosa
Lineage: Eukaryota; Metazoa; Arthropoda; Insecta; Coleoptera; Lucanidae
Description: tRNA-Cys
Source: RNAcentral
AGUCUUAUAUUCAAUUAUGAUUCCAAAUUGCAAAUUUGGGGGUGAAAGUUUUUCUAAGGCUU